UACGGAGGAGGCAAGCGUUAUCCGGAAUGAUUGGGCGUAAAGCGUCCGCAGGUGGCAGUUCAAGUCUGCUGUCAAAGACCGGGGCUUAACUUCGGAAAGGCAGUGGAAACUGAACAGCUAGAGUAUGGUAGGGGCAGAGGGAAUUUCCGGUGGAGCGGUGAAAUGCGUAGAGAUCGGAAAGAACACCAACGGCGAAAGCACUCUGCUGGGCCGACACUGACACUGAGAGACGAAAGCUAGGGGAGCGAAUGGG
Molecule: ribosomal RNA, 253 nt
Filed under: uncultured bacterium
Lineage: Bacteria
Description: partial 16S ribosomal RNA
Rfam family: Bacterial small subunit ribosomal RNA
Source: RNAcentral